AUGGGUCCUGUGCUCCCAAAUCGUUGGAUGCGUCGUUCACCUGGGUGUUUGGUAAGAAUGCAGUGCGAUGUUGCUCUCUGUCGCUCGCUGAGCGUAGCCCGAGGUUAAGCUUGGGCGCCCUCACAAAACCAGUACCACUCCGGUGUCUUCGACUUUGCCGGCUUCGCCUUUCCCAAGCCUGUUUUUUGCUGCUCGCGGCCCCACUGCGUUCUCAACAGGCCGCGUCCACCCACCGGCCGACGUGGCCCCGCCUACCUCGCGCCCACUGGGGGCGGAGCCUGCGGCGCCUCUCUGACGUCACUUCCAGCGGACACAGAAGCGCCGUUGUCGGCCGGUAGCUUUGGUUAGGGAGUCGUGAUGGGACCGCGCUCAGCUUAACCCUCUGGCCGACGUGGGCCGAGGGGGCCGGCCCGGGCUGCUGUGGACCAGACGAGCGGAGAGUGCGGAGCGGCUUCUGGGCCAGCGCUAACGAGCCCUGGCAGUGCGCACCUCUGGUGCCAGUGUCGCCCCGCCUCUGGGAUAGAAUCCGCCCCAGCUCUCCGGGCCUGGGACCCGGCGGCCGCUUUCGCCAGUCCGUCCGGCCGAUCCGCAUUAGGUCCGGGAUAACUAGGUGGAGUAGGUGUGCGGCCCGCCGCCUGACAGCCCGCUCGCUGUUUCUUUAAGCCUUCGCCUGCGUCUUCGCGGUCGUCUCCCGUUCUGCUGGAAAGCUGACGUGGGGCAAUCCGUUCAGACCCUCCAUGGAGAAGUUUGGGAUGAAUUUCGGGGGCGGCCCGAGCAAGAAAGACUUGCUGGAGACUAUAGAGACGCAGAAGAAGCAGCUUCUCCAGUACCAGGCACGGCUCAAGGAUGUGGUCCGUGCCUAUAAAAGCCUGCUGAAGGAGAAAGAGGCAUUAGAGGCCAGCAUCAAGGUGCUGUCGGUAUCCCACGAGGCAGAUGUGGGCCUCGCAGGUGUCCAGCUCCCAGGCCUCACCUUGCCUGACUCUGUGGAUGAUCGGUGCUCCACUCACAGCGAGGAUAGCACUGGGACCGCCACUAGCUUGGAUACUGCGGCCAGUCUCACCAGCACCAAGGGUGAGUUUGGGGUAGAAGAUGACAGACCGGCCCGUGGACCACCACCUCCAAAGUCCGAAGAGGCCAGUGGGUCCGAGAGUGGCGUUAGCAGUAGCAGUGGGGAUGGGCCAUUUGCAGGUGGGGAGGUGGACAAAAGACUGCACCAGCUGAAGACUCAGUUGGCUACUUUGACCAGUUCUUUGGCCACAGUCACUCAGGAGAAGUCCCGCAUGGAGGCUUCUUACCUGGCUGACAAGAAGAAGAUGAAACAGGACUUAGAGGAUGCCAGUAACAAGGCGGAGGAGGAGAGGGCCCGCCUGGAGGGAGAAUUGAAGGGGCUGCAGGAACAAAUAGCAGAAACCAAAGCCCGGCUUAUCACGCAGCAGCAUGAUCGGGCCCAAGAGCAGAGUGACCAUGCCUUGAUGUUGCGUGAGCUCCAGAAGCUGCUGCAGGAGGAGAGGACCCAGCGCCAGGACUUGGAGCUUAGGUUAGAAGAGACCCGAGAAGCUCUGGCAGGACGAGCAUACGCAGCUGAACAGAUGGAAGGAUUUGAACUGCAGACCAAGCAGCUGACCCGUGAGGUGGAGGAGCUGAAAACUGAACUGCAGGCCAUUCGAGAUGAGAAGAAUCAGCCAGACCCCCGGCUGCAAGAACUUCAGGAAGAGGCUGCCCGCCUUAAGAGCCAUUUCCAGGCUCAGUUACAGCAGGAAAUGAGAAAGACAGCUCUUGCAGAGGAUCAACUCCGUCAGCAAUCUCAGGUGGAAGAACAGAGGGUGGCAGCCCUGGAGAAUCAAAUAUCCGAGGUAUCUGAGCUGCUAGGUACCUACGAGAAAGCCAAGCAGAAGGACCAGCUGGCCAUUCAGAAGCUGAAGGAGCGCAUUCUGCAGCUGGACCUGGAGAACAAGACACUGGCUCUAGCAGCCUCCAGCAGGUCCCCUUUAGACAGCCAUGGAGAGGAGUCCAGUCUGGAUGUCAAUGUCCUGAAAGAUAAGAUGGAGAAGCUGAAGAGGCUGCUGCAGGUUGCGGCCAGGAAAAGCCAGGUGACCCUGGAUGUGGAGAAGCUCUGUGACCUGGAGAUAAUGCCCAGCUCGGAGGCUGCUGAUGGGGAGAAGGCUACUGCACUGUAUUACCAACAGGAGCUGAAACAGCUGAAGGAAGAGUUUGAGAGGUACAAGAUGAGAGCCCAGGUCGUCCUCAAAAGCAAGAAUACCAAAGAUGGUAACCUAGGAAAGGAGCUGGAGGCAGCCCAGGAACAGCUUGCAGAGCUGAAGGAGAAGUAUAUCUCCCUGCGGCUCUCCUGCGAGGAGCUGGAGCACCAACACCAGCAGGAGGCUGAUGACUGGAAGCAGGAGCUGGCCCGGCUGCAGCAGCUCCACCGGCAGGAGCUGGAGCGGUGCCAGCUGGACUUCAGGGACCGCACACUGAAACUGGAGGAGGAGCUGCACAAGCAGCGGGAUCGUGCCCUGGCUGUGCUGACGGAGAAGGACUUGGAACUGGAGCAACUGCGUUCUGUGGCCUUGGCCUCUGGGCUGCCAGGACGCAGAAGUCCUGUGGGUGGUGGCGGUCCUGGGGACCCAGCUGACACAUCAUCCUCUGAUAGCCUGACCCAAGCAUUACAACUUGCAGCGGCCAGCGAGCCCACUUUCUUUCUGUACGCUGAACAACUGGCCCGCAAGGAGGUGGAGAUCACAUCACUGAGGAAGCAGAAGCACAGGCUGGAGGUCGAGGUGCAUCAGCUGCAGGAUCGGCUGCUGGAGGAGGGCGAACGGCAUCGCGAGGAGGUUGCAGCCCUGCAGAGCCACAUCGAAAAGAACAUCAGAGACCAGAGCAGGGAGGGAGCCAAUCUGGAGUACCUCAAAAACAUCAUCUACCGCUUCCUGACCUUACCUGACUCCCUGGGCCGCCAGCAGACUCUCACAGCCAUACUGACUAUCUUGCACUUCAGUCCAGAGGAGAAACAAGUGAUAAUGCGACUCCCAACCAGUGCCAGCUGGUGGCCUUCUGGCAAGAGAUGAUGCCAUUUUCACGAAUUCCUGGAAUUUCUGUGCCUCUUUUAUGUGGGAAAGGGCAGGCUCUGGUUUCUGCUGCCUCUUCUCUUACAUUGUCAUUUAUUUCUUCACUGUGUUGAGCUGGGAGGAGUCUUCAAUGUGGGAUGGGAUUUUCUGCCAAAUGCCGUUAAUGCUGCUUUAUCCUUAGGCCCUAGAGAUACUGAAAGUCCUGGGGCAGUAUCUUCUGAUGGUGUGCAUGUGAGGAGAAGAUGAGGUUAGGACUGAGAAGUGCAAAAGUUGGAACAGUGGCAGUCUGGAGACCUCAGAUGGAUGGUUUUUGGAGCAAAAAAACCCCUAAUUACAUAAAUAGCCAGCGUAGUAACUGAAACAAGACUGGAGUGCAGUGGUGUGAACAUGGCUCACUGGACCUCCUGGGCUCAAGAAAUCCUCUAACCUCAGCCUCCUGAGUAGCUUGGAUUACAGGCUAUCUUGUCCUGUGGCUUCCCAUUGUGUUUGGCCAGUGAAGAGCCCUGGAAGAAGAUCUGGGGGAAGGGAGCAAGGAGAGUGAGGUCAGGCUAUUUAUUCCUCUAGCCCUCUGUUUAUGUAGUAUCACUUAGGGCUGACUGUGUCCUUCAACUGAAGAUUACAGCUCCUGUCUCCAAGUUUCAAGAACUACUCCCUCCAUUCCCCAUCAAGCCUAGGGGUGAUAAUGUAUCUCACUGUUAUUAGCCCAGUAGGGCUGAACUGUCCUUUGUGGUUUCCCUAAAUCCUGCCUUUUAUUAAACUUGUCUCAUGACCCAGGGAGGGUGCCAUACACUUCUUGCUAGCAUCCUGACUUACGCUGGAGCCAUUGGCAUAUACCUGAUAGUAAAGCUGUAGGCCUGGAUGAAAGCCACUAAGGAGAUCAGAGGACAGAGCUUGAGGCAUAUCAGUUUUUAGAGGUGGGCAGGGAAGGAGGAGCUGGCAUAGGAGAUAUGAGGGGGGAAGCCCAUUAAGUAGGGAUUAAACCAGGUGAGCAUGGAGUCACCAAAGCCCAAACAAGAAAGCACAUCAAGAAGCAGGGGUUGCCGUGUCAAAAGCUACCUGCUGAGCGGUCAGGGGUUGUAGAAACAGAGAACCCACCAUCAGAUUUGGCCAUCAGUGAACUUUAAUGUGAAUGGUAUAGAUUUUGCAGAGCUCAGCUGCUUAAAUUUGUCAGAGUCCCACAGAUUUGGCCAUCAGUGAACUUUAAUGUGAAUGGUAUAGACUUUAUGGAGCUCAGCUGCUUAAAUUUGUGAAUCCCACACCUUCAAUAGGAUUUAUGGGUUCUUGUGUGGUUGGCCCUUAGUUUAGUCCUCUGGCCUCUCCUCCUCCAACUCCCUGCCAAUCACACUGCUCCUCAGCCCCUCAAAGUCUCUGCUCUGGCUGAGGCCUCCAGGGCUUUGCUCUUGCUGUUAUUUUCUACCUGGGACACUCUUUCCCCUAUCUGUCACUUCUGGCUCACUCCUACCUCAGGUCUCUUAGAACCUUCCUGACCCUUGAGUCUGGAGGAAGUGACCUCCUAAGUAUAGUUGAUUCUCAUUAUCCACAGUAGUUACAUUCUAGAAAGUUGCCAUGAGCACUGCAUUAGCGAAUACUGAGCUAUGGUUCCUAGAGGUAAUACAGAGUUAGGUUCCUGUAAGCUUCUGGUCAAUGCAUUGUCAUCAACUGAUUAAAGCAUAAUCUGUUCUACGUGUGUUUCUGUUUAAAGGCAUAACCUUGUUCUGUGUGUAUUUCUUUUUUAAUAUGUUGUCGAUUCAUUAACAUUGAACCCAUAGUGAACAGCACCAUGAGUCACACCUGAAUGAAGCUUAUCCAAACACCUGUUUUGCUCCACAGGGCACAUCACAGUUUUCUCAUGCUUAGAAACACUAGACAGUGCUUCAGCACUAAGUGGGGGCCAUUAUAAACAGUGAAAUCACCAAGAAAAAGCAUAAGGAUACAAAAAAAUGUGGCACUAAAUGGACCUUGAAAAGGGCACUUGUUUAUAGUGUGAGAAUGGAAAUAAAAAGGCAAAAUGUCACCUCGUUCAGUCUCAUCGGGAAUAUGCACAUGGGGUGACUCACAUUUUUAUUGCCACUUUGUGCGUGUUUGUGAAUGACCUUGACAGCACUGGGAGUAUGGACUUGGGGGUUACAAAUACAUGUUAGCAAGUAGGAGAAUUUGCAAAUACAGUAUCCAUGGAUGAGGAUAGGCUAUUCUCAGUGCACCUGUUAAUUACCUCACUAAGACCCUUUCUACACUAUAAUAGCAAAAGAUCCAUCACUUACUAGCUGUGUGACUUUGGGCUAGUUCACCUCUCUGUGCCUCAACAGUAUCAUCAAUAGUAUGACAGUAAUAAUAAUACUUAGCUCUUAGAGUUGUUGCAA
This is an RNA transcript of Pongo pygmaeus (Bornean orangutan), 5425 nucleotides long. It is a transcript of the gene named GRIP and coiled-coil domain containing 1, with no coding region annotated. NCBI's taxonomy places the organism in Eukaryota, Metazoa, Chordata, Mammalia, Primates, Hominidae. The transcript is spliced from 5 exons. The record is from RefSeq and is a predicted model, not a curated record.